GCUUUAUAAAUCUACGAGUUCCCUCCACAUAUUUACAAGAGCGAUCUGCAGUUAACCGGACGCAUAUACAUCUGUCCAUAUUGAGGUACAAUGAUGAACUACUGUGGUCUGAUAACAUCCAGGAAGGAAGCAGUUCCUCUAAAGAGCAUUGAGGUGGAGGUGGAGGUGAGGGACCAUGUGGCUACAGUGGUCUCCACUCUGAACUAUGAGAACAAGGAGGACAAACCAAUAGAGGCAAUAUUUGUCUUCCCUCUGCCUGGAGAUGCUGCUGUCUGUCAUUUCAGUGCUAAGAUUGGACAAAAAGAGAUUGUAGCUGAGGUGAAGGAGAAAC
Epinephelus lanceolatus (giant grouper) is the source of this 331-nucleotide non-coding RNA. Lineage: Eukaryota; Metazoa; Chordata; Actinopteri; Perciformes; Serranidae. The record is from RefSeq and is a predicted model, not a curated record.